GACGAACGCUGGCGGCGUGCUUAACACAUGCAAGUCGAACGGAAAGGCCCUGCUUUUGUGGGGUGCUCGAGUGGCGAACGGGUGAGUAACACGUGAGUAACCUGCCCUUGACUUUGGGAUAACUUCAGGAAACUGGGGCUAAUACCGGAUAGGAGCUCCUGCUGCAUGGUGGGGGUUGGAAAGUUUCGGCGGUUGGGGAUGGACUCGCGGCUUAUCAGCUUGUUGGUGGGGUAGUGGCUUACCAAGGCUUUGACGGGUAGCCGGCCUGAGAGGGUGACCGGCCACAUUGGGACUGAGAGACGGCCCAGACUCCUACGGGAGGCAGCAGUGGGGAAUAUUGCACAAUGGGCGGAAGCCUGAUGCAGCAACGCCGCGUGCGGGAUAACGGCCUUCGGGUUGUAAACCGCUUUCGCCUGUGACGAAGCGUGAGUGACGGUAAUGGGUAAAGAAGCACCGGCUAACUACGUG
RNAcentral lists this ribosomal RNA (468 nucleotides) under uncultured bacterium. RNAcentral describes it as "partial 16S ribosomal RNA". It matches the Rfam family "Bacterial small subunit ribosomal RNA", at positions 28 to 507 of the family's 1533-position model. The record is from RNAcentral.